CCUACGGGUGGCAGCAGUGGGGAAUAUUGGACAAUGGGCGAAAGCCUGAUCCAGCCAUGCCGCGUGUGUGAAGAAGGCCUUCGGGUUGUAAAGCACUUUCAGUGGGGAAGAAAGCCUUGGGGCUAAUACCCUCGAGGAAGGACAUCACCCACAGAAGAAGCACCGGCUAACUCCGUGCCAGCAGCCGCGGUAAUACGGAGGGUGCGAGCGUUAAUCGGAAUUACUGGGCGUAAAGCUCGCGUAGGCGGUCUGAUAAGCCGGUUGUGAAAGCCCCGGGCUCAACCUGGGAACGGCAUCCGGAACUGUCAGGCUAGAGUGCAGGAGAGGAAGGUAGAAUUCCCGGUGUAGCGGUGAAAUGCGUAGAGAUCGGGAGGAAUACCAGUGGCGAAGGCGGCCUUCUGGACUGACACUGACGCUGAGGUGCGAAAGCGUGGGUAGCAAACAGGAUUAGAUACCCGUGUAGUC
Molecule: ribosomal RNA, 465 nt
Filed under: Vreelandella stevensii
Lineage: Bacteria; Pseudomonadati; Pseudomonadota; Gammaproteobacteria; Oceanospirillales; Halomonadaceae
Description: partial 16S ribosomal RNA
Rfam family: Bacterial small subunit ribosomal RNA
Source: RNAcentral